GAUUAUAUACCUGCUACUUGGGAUGAUUUGAAACUUGCCAUGCGACAUACUUUCGUCCCUGCUUAUUAUACUCGUGACAUGAUUAAGAAGUUGCAACACUUAAAACAAGGUAGUGAAACUGUAACAAAAUAUUAUGAUGAUUUACAAACUACCUUGUUGCAUUCCUCUUUAGAAGAAAGUGAAGAUGAUUUUAUGGAUAGAUUUUGGGGAGGAUUAAACCGUGAUAUUCAAGAGAUACUAAUUCAUGAAGAGUGUUAUCCUAUGGACCAUUUGUUUCAUCUUGCUUGCAAAGCUGAACAGGAAAUAAAACGACGUGUUGUCCACGAGGAGAACAAGCGCACGGUGCACAUUCCAAGAGUUGAUAUGAUUGUUUCUUCAACUACUAGGCAUACUAUGACAACC
This 402-nucleotide ribosomal RNA is filed under the name Triticum aestivum (bread wheat). RNAcentral's name for it is "partial small subunit ribosomal RNA". The record is from RNAcentral. Lineage: Eukaryota; Viridiplantae; Streptophyta; Magnoliopsida; Poales; Poaceae.